AUGGAAUUGGGGCAGCUCUGGCUGUUUCAGNACGGCGCUGCACGCGGCGCUGCGCAAGGAGCAGAUGAAGGUGGAGUCCCUGGAGAGAACCCUGCAGCAGAAGAACCAGGAGAUCGAGGAGCUGACCAAGAUCUGCGACGAGCUGAUAGCGAAACUGGGAAAGUCAGACUGAGCCUCAGCACCCCCUCCUCACCCAGCACUCUGCACUUGGCUGCUUCUCUCGUGACCUUGAGCACCUUGCCUUACCCUGGGCUCCCUGCAGGAAAGCUCCCGUGUCCAGCUGCCCCUUGGCUGCCAGACCUGUGGCUCCUGAGCAGGGCUGCUCCCCUCUCUGUGUCUGUCUGCUUCCCACAGCUCCAGGCUGGGAUCCCUGCAGGCAGCCUGGGAAUCAUCCUGGGCUCAGCUUGGGAAUCAUCCUGGGCUCAGCCUGGGCCUGUGUGUCCCUCUCUGGGCCUGUGUGUCCCUCUCUGGGCCUGUGUGUCCCUCCCAGGGUGUGCUGCCCUGUCCCUCUGCACCUCUCAGGUGGGAGGUGACACCCUGGGCUCUGUCCCCCGUGGCUGGGCUGUGUCCCCACUGCACUCUCUGUCCCUGAUUGUCCCCAUGGCUCAGCAGAGCAGGUCCAGCCACUGGUGGGUCCUGCCCUGGGACAUGGGGGGUGGUGGGGGGGACCUGCUGGCUCCUGCACUGGGUUUGGCUGGUCUCUGGUUGGUGGGGGAAGCACAGCACAGCCUCUCCCUGCCCCUGGCUGUGCCAGCCUCAGAGGAAGGGAGCUGA
Molecule: long non-coding RNA, 774 nt
Filed under: Zonotrichia albicollis (white-throated sparrow)
Lineage: Eukaryota; Metazoa; Chordata; Aves; Passeriformes; Passerellidae
Description: lncRNA (ENSZALG00000001850.1)
Source: RNAcentral